GACGAACGCUGGCGGCGUGCUUAACACAUGCAAGUCGAACGGAAAGGCCCUGCUUUUGUGGGGUGCUCGAGUGGCGAACGGGUGAGUAACACGUGAGUAACCUGCCCUUGACUUUGGGAUAACUUCAGGAAACUGGGGCUAAUACCGGAUAGGAGCUCCUGCUGCAUGGUGGGGGUUGGAAAGUUUCGGCGGUUGGGGAUGGACUCGCGGGUUAUCAGCUUGUUGGUGGGGUAGUGGCUGACCAAGGCUUUGACGGGUAGCCGGCCUGGGAGGGGGAACGGCGACAAUGGGACUAAGGGACGGCGCAGACGGCUACGGGAGGCAGCGGUCGGGAGUAUUGCACAACGGGGGGAAGCGUGAGGCAGCAGCGCCGGGUGCGGGAUGAUGUCCUUCGGGUUGUAAACAGCUUUCGCCUGUGACGAAGAGUGAGUGACGGUAAUGGGUAAAGAAGCACCGGCUAACUACGUG
This 468-nucleotide ribosomal RNA is filed under the name uncultured bacterium. RNAcentral describes it as "partial 16S ribosomal RNA". It matches the Rfam family "Bacterial small subunit ribosomal RNA", at positions 28 to 507 of the family's 1533-position model. The record is from RNAcentral.